This 496-nucleotide ribosomal RNA is filed under the name uncultured bacterium. RNAcentral describes it as "partial 16S ribosomal RNA". It matches the Rfam family "Bacterial small subunit ribosomal RNA", at positions 29 to 507 of the family's 1533-position model. The record is from RNAcentral.
AUGAACGCUGGCGGCGUGCCUAAUACAUGCAAGUCGAGCGAACAGACGAGGAGCUUGCUCCUUCGACGUUAGCGGCGGACGGGUGAGUAACACGUAGGUAACCUACCUAUAAGACUGGGAUAACUUCGGGAAACCGGAGCUAAUACCGGAUAAUAUUUCGAACCGCAUGGUUCGAUAGUGAAAGAUGGCUUUGCUAUCACUUAUAGAUGGACUUGCGCCGUAUUAGCUAGUUGGUAAGGUAACGGCUUACCAAGGCAACGAUACGUAGCCGACCUGAGAGGGUGAUCGGCCACACUGGAACUGAGACACGGUCCAGACUCCUACGGGAGGCAGCAGUAGGGAAUCUUCCGCAAUGGGCGAAAGCCUGACGGAGCAACGCCGCGUGAGUGAUGAAGGUCUUCGGAUCGUAAAACUCUGUUAUUAGGGAAGAACAAACGUGUAAGUAACUGUGCACGUCUUGACGGUACCUAAUCAGAAAGCCACGGCUAACUACGUG